GGUGGCUCAGUGGCAGAGAGCUUGCCUCAUAUGCAUGAGGUCCUGGGUUUGAUUCCCCAGCACCA
Molecule: transfer RNA, 65 nt
Filed under: Dipodomys ordii (Ord's kangaroo rat)
Lineage: Eukaryota; Metazoa; Chordata; Mammalia; Rodentia; Heteromyidae
Rfam family: tRNA
About the family: Transfer RNA (tRNA) molecules are approximately 80 nucleotides in length. Their secondary structure includes four short double-helical elements and three loops (D, anti-codon, and T loops).
Source: Rfam by way of RNAcentral